CCUACGGGUGGCAGCAGUGAGGAAUAUUGGUCAAUGGGCGUAAGCCUGAACCAGCCAAGUCGCGUGAGGGAUGAAGGUUCUAUGGAUCGUAAACCUCUUUUAUAAGGAAAUAAAGUGCGGGACGUGUCCCGUUUUGUAUGUACCUUAUGACUAAGGAUCGGCUAACGCCGUGCCAGCAGCCGCGGUAAUACGGAGGAUCCGAGCGUUAUCCGGAUUUAUUGGGUUUAAAGGGUGCGUAGGCGGCCUUUUAAGUCAGCGGUGAAAGUCUGUGGUUCAACCAUAGAAUUGCCGUUGAAACUGGGAGUCUUGAGUAUGUGUGAGGCAGGCGGAAUGCGUGGUGUAGCGGUGAAAUGCUUAGAUAUCACGCAGAACCCCGAUUGCGAAGGCAGUCUGCUAAGCAAUGACUGACGCUGAUGCACGAAAGCGUGGGGAUCAAACAGGAUUAGAUACCCGAGUAGUC
Molecule: ribosomal RNA, 460 nt
Filed under: uncultured bacterium
Lineage: Bacteria
Description: partial 16S ribosomal RNA
Rfam family: Bacterial small subunit ribosomal RNA
Source: RNAcentral